AAGAAGAGGCUUCCUCCUGUGCUCGUUCUGGGAAGCCCUCCUCAGAAACCUGAGAGACCUCCAAAUGUUGACAUUCAUCAGUUUAGAAGGAACAGAAAAGCUUUGAAUGACGGACCAAGGAUGAAGAUACCACAUCAUGUUGCUCCUUCACCUACCCCUCCACCUCUACAUUUGAAGCCACCACCCAACCUUGCAGCUAUUUUGAUGCAACAAUCAGAGAGAUUUAUAAAACAUCAAAAAAGAAAUAGAGAAGGGGACACAAACCAUGGUGAAGUCACAGAUGAGAAACAGGCAGAACCAAAAGGAACCAUAAACUCAGAGGAAAUGAAAAGACGAGCCAAGAAAGAGGAGAAAAAAAAACUGAAACAACAGGAAGCCAAAGAGCAGAGGCACAAAGACACAAUGAUGGUGGUCAAGAUGAAAGGACCUGCUCCUCUAGUCAAGAGGGGAAAGGCACAUCUUGAUUUUAAAAGAGCAAAACCUGACUUCUCUCUGGAUAAAGG
This is a long non-coding RNA of Seriola dumerili (greater amberjack), 503 nucleotides long. RefSeq lists it as uncharacterized. Lineage: Eukaryota; Metazoa; Chordata; Actinopteri; Carangiformes; Carangidae. The record is from RefSeq and is a predicted model, not a curated record. The transcript is spliced from 5 exons.